This 490-nucleotide ribosomal RNA is filed under the name uncultured bacterium. RNAcentral's name for it is "partial 16S ribosomal RNA". It matches the Rfam family "Bacterial small subunit ribosomal RNA", at positions 30 to 507 of the family's 1533-position model. The record is from RNAcentral.
AUUGAACGCUGGCGGCAUGCUUUACACAUGCGAGUCGAACGGCAGCACGAAAGAGCUUGCUCUUUUGGUGGCGAGUGGCGAACGGGUGAGUAAUGCAUCGGAACGUACCGAGUAAUGGGGGAUAACUGUCCGAAAGGAUAGCUAAUACCGCAUACGCUUUGAGAAGGAAAGUGGGGGCUCUUCGGACCUCACGUUAUUCGAGCGGCCGAUGUCUGAUUAGCUAGUUGGUGGGGUAAAGGCCUACCAAGGCGACGAUCAGUAGCGGGUCUGAGAGGAUGAUCCGCCACACUGGGACUGAGACACGGCCCAGACUCCUACGGGAGGCAGCAGUGGGGAAUUUUGGACAAUGGGCGCAAGCCUGAUCCAGCCAUGCCGCGUGUCUGAAGAAGGCCUUCGGGUUGUAAAGGACUUUUGUUAGGGAAGAAAAGGAUAGUGUUAAUACCAUUAUCUGCUGACGGUACCUAAAGAAUAAGCACCGGCUAACUACGUG